Punica granatum (pomegranate) is the source of this 3649-nucleotide non-coding RNA. NCBI's taxonomy places the organism in Eukaryota, Viridiplantae, Streptophyta, Magnoliopsida, Myrtales, Lythraceae. The record is from RefSeq and is a predicted model, not a curated record.
CUCUUGGCCCACUGAUUAUCUAGCCAGAUGAUCCACGCAGCUUUCAACCUAUAAAAAUUAUUGACCAAGCCAGAUCCCAGCUUAUAUAAUAUCGAAUCAUCACAAACCCCGUAGAGCUAGUAUAGAGCUGUAAGUCGAAUCCAACUGAUCGUAUCACACGCAGAGAGAAAGAGAGAUAUAGAGAGGUAGAGGAGGAGAAGGAAGGAUCGAUGAAGAAAGCUGCAACAUUUACGACUGCAACUCCGUUGUUUGUGGCUAUUCGGAUCUUUACGGUUCUCGCUAUCAUUCUACUGUACCUCCCCCCGCUGGCUUUUGGCGCCCGUAGUCUUCUCGAUAGGGAAGAUGUGUACGGGCACAGAUUUCUUCCUUCGACAGCUGGCCAAGCAGUCGCACGCAAUCUAGGAAAUGUGGGUGGAGGUCCAUUUCAUGGAGAUGGGGGACAUGGCCCACAACAUUAAAGUUCCUAAAGACGAUGUCAUACAAUGCAUACACAGAUCAGAAAUUGAGGUAUCAGAAUACAAGAUCCGAAAGUUGAAAAUUUAAGAGCUCUUUCGGGAUAUCUUACAUUAAAUUAAUCCUAUUACUGGAGUAUAACUUGAUAUUUUCCUUUUCCCUGAAGUCAGUGAUCUAGUUAUAUCAAAUUCACUGAUAAAAAAUUUACCCAAUUUAGUGGUGCGACCACUUUAUAUAAGACAUGGAGAAACUUGGUGCUAGCUUAAUUUUAUAUAUAUAUUGAUUUAUUUACUAAAUUGUGAUUGCCGGUCAUAAAUCUAUUACUCUAUAUAAAAAGGGAGAAGUUCCUUCGUGUGUUUUCACUUUUUUUUUUUGGGCCUUUUCGGUACUUAAAAUAACAAAGGCCUAGCAAACUGACUUGUGAUUUCAUUGUGCCUCCUCGCCUUAGAGGAACACUCUGUUUCAUAUAUAUUCCCCUGCCUGCCUUCCUGACGCAGCGUACAAUGCGAGUAACCAUCACAGACCUGUUGAUUCGCGCACGAAUACCGGAACUACGACCUUUUAUACCUGUUGAUUCUACGAAUACCAGGAAAUAGGCAUCAAACUUGAAUCGAUCCGAGAUUGGACAAAACACGAAAGCUCUGAAUUUUAUUGAUAAUCCAAAAGACGACGGCUUUAACCCUAGGGCUUACGCGUUUCUUAAAUAGGGUUUAAGAAAAAUUAAAUUGUAUAAAAAGAACUAAACUUUUCUAAAAUUGUAAAAACACCCUAAUUAACAAAAAAUUACCUGUUUGAAGCCAUAGACGAUGGAAUUUGCUUUAAAUAUCGAAAAAUCACGGCAAAGCGGUGAGUUUUGCUCCGGAGGCCGUUUCCUUCGAAAUAGGGUCGUCAUAACCUAUUUUUCUCCAAAUACCGACUUGUCAGGUCUUCUACCGCAUCACUUCCCCCCCUUCCCCCCAAAGCGCCGACCAAAUCUGUCUAACCCUUCCCCACGGGCAACCUACGAAUUGCGUCCAACCCCAUUCUCCAACCUUCCUUCCUUCUUCAUUUCUACCUUCGUAGCAUCUUUAUGUGCCCACUUCUUUUCCUCCAUCCAUUAUUGGUAAUGUUCAGUCGAGCUGCUGGAGUUGACAUGUUCAUAUUUCAGAUAGAUUUAAGUAUAUAGAGUCUUUACAAUGUACUUCAAGUAGCGUCGUAAUUACGACCACAAGAAGUCUGCUAAGAAAGUUCCUAAUGGUUUGUCUCUUGCCUUUUAUAUACAUUUUUUUUAUGAAAUGGUGUUAUUUUAAUUCGUCAAAAGUUCAUAAAUGAAAAUCUUGUCGCAUUGUUGUAACCUACUUAUAAGUAUAAUGAAUCUUUGUUUCUUACUAAUAAUAUAAUUAAAUUAUGGAAUUCACAGAAUUGCGGUGGAGAAUCCUAGAGGAUCUUGUUGCUAAGAACUACAUGUUGCCUCUUGAACAGUUUGGUUUUAAUCCUUAUUGAGAUUGAAUGCGCCUAAAAUGGACGGAUCUAUGGGUCUGUGUGCUAAUGCCAAUGUUACCAUGAAUGGGCUGUCUACACAUGCCGUUUUGACCGUUGCAUCCUUAGGAUCUAUAACUACUCAAGCUUAUAUCAUCACUCCUCCAUUUCCUUCUAAAGGUUUUGUCUGUGAGUGCUAGGUUGAUUUAUAUAGAAUGCUGGUUGAUUUAUGUUGUAAAACGAUUUUUUUUUUUUAAGAAUACGUCGUCUUUUCUAGGUUCUUAUAUCUGCUCAAGCUUAUAUCAUCACGCCUCCAUUUCCUUCUAAAGGUUUUGUCUGUGAACGCUAGGUUGAUUUAAAUAGAAUGCUGGUUGAUUUAUAUUGUAAAACGAGUUUUCUUUUUUUUUUUUUUUAGAAUAAGCCGUCUUUUCUAGGUUCUUAUAUCAUCAUGCACCUAUAUUGUCUAUUCUAGGCUUUUGAGCUGAUUAAAAAGCUUUCCAAUUUUAUAGAGAUCUUGCCAUAUUCAGCAUAGAAUAUAAGCAUUUAUUCUCUCCUUCACCUAUGAUGAACAUAGAAGAGUUUGAGGCUUGAAAUGCAGAUGUAAGGAUGACAUAGAAAAAUGAGAGUCCAGGAAAAUGGUAAUAUACUUUUCUGCUGUCUGAGUUAGGCUAUCUUUAUCUGUAGUUGUACUAUGUCUUAUCUACCGUAUUCAGAUCUACACCAAAGAAUUAUCUUAUUGCUAUUUUUUUUUUUGAAAGAAAUACAAAUGCGUGAACCUCCUCACCCACCACCUAUUGUAGGCUGGCAAAUGCCAAAUGCCUCCCUUUGCCAACAGUCAUAGUAUCUAAUGUUAUUACUUUCUCGUUCUAAAACUCAUGUAUCUUCAUCUGCAUUCGUUUUCCUUUCUAUGCCUUUUCUUCUUACUCUCUAUUGUUCUUAUUUCUUUCCUUCCUAUGUCUCCUAUCUGAUAUCCGCCAUGUGGCUUCUUCCGAUGUCCUCUUUGUGCUGAUGGUACUUCUCAUCCUGUAAAUGCAAUUUGACGACAAGGUUGGUGUUGCCUUCGCCGUUGUUCUGGCUGAAUUUCUUGCCAUGAAUAGGCUACUCAAAUUAUCAGCACUGCGAUUCCACUUGCUCAUACUGGUGCUACUUAUUAGUCUAUUCCACCAUACUAUUGGCAGAAUACUAAAGGCCCAUUUUCUUUCUUGAACAGGGUUACAGUCAAUUGUAAUGGACAGUCAAUUUGCUCUGGUAGCCAAAUUGUUUACUGUUCGUUGUCUACUCGCAAUCUCUCUUGCUCGUGAUUAGGAGCUUCACCAGCUUGAUGUACAUAACGCUUACCUGCAUGGAGAGCUCGAUGAGGAGGUGUACAUGUAGCUGCCAUUGGGUUUUCAAUCGAAUAUUAGUGGUCAAGUUUGUCAUCUACAUAAAUUGCUCUAAGGACUUCGGCAAGCCUCCCGCAAUUGUUAUGUCAAGUUUGCUUCCGCUUUUAUUGCAUAUGGCUUUCAACAAUCGGAGGCAGAUCAUUAGUUGUUUACUUAAUUUCAUGGAGAUAUCUCAUUCGUUGUGUUGAUCUAUGUUGACGACAUGAUAUUGGCAAGUAAUAAUUCAGAUGCUUGCUCGGCCUUCAAGGAUUAUUUGGCAUAACAAUUUCGUAUCAAGGACCUUAGGUUGUUGAAAUAUUUCCUAGGGAUUGAGGUAGCUCGAAAGCCCAAUGAGAUUUUCCUGUCUCAAAUGAAAU